Molecule: ribosomal RNA, 484 nt
Filed under: uncultured bacterium
Lineage: Bacteria
Description: partial 16S ribosomal RNA
Rfam family: Bacterial small subunit ribosomal RNA
Source: RNAcentral
AUUGAACGCUGGCGGCAGGCCUAACACAUGCAAGUCGAGCGGAUGAAGGGAGCUUGCUCCUGGAUUCAGCGGCGGACGGGUGAGUAAUGCCUAGGAAUCUGCCUGGUAGUGGGGGAUAACGUCCGGAAACGGGCGCUAAUACCGCAUACGUCCUGAGGGAGAAAGUGGGGGAUCUUCGGACCUCACGCUAUCAGAUGAGCCUAGGUCGGAUUAGCUAGUUGGUGGGGUAAAGGCCUACCAAGGCGAGGAUCCGUAACUGGUCUGAGAGGAUGAUCAGUCACACUGGAACUGAGACACGCUCCAGACUCCUACGGGAGGCAGCAGUGGGGAAUAUUGGACAAUGGGCGAAAGCCUGAUCCAGCCAUGCCGCGUGUGUGAAGAAGGUCUUCGGAUUGUAAAGCACUUUAAGUUGGGAGGAAGGGCAGUAAGUUAAUACCUUGCUGUUUUGACGUUACCAACAGAAUAAGCACCGGCUAACUUCGUG